CAAGAAAACAAAAGGACAGAGCCUCAUUUGGUGUAAACCAGCCUCCCCAUUUUAACUCCAUGGAAACUAUACAAAGGAUCUAAUCCCUGGUCUCGUGCUGAGCAUACCAAGGCUCUAGCCAGUGCUGACACCCUGUUCUCCUGUAAAUGAAAGCAGGUUGGGUCUUAACUCCAGAGAUAGGCUGAAGAGCCCCAACCUGUUCCCACACGGGAGGUGCCCAAGCCCUCUAAUUAUCUUGGUGGCUUUCAUCUGAUCCUGCUCUUUACUGGUGAAGUUGAAGUUUCAUGGUUUAAAAAUACACAAAACUAAGUGUGACAGAUGGCAGCAGCAGGGCAGUCUGAAACAAUAGCAUCUGACAUGGAAGCGUCAAUGAAGCAAAGGUGUUUCAGUGAAUUCUUCAGUGCAAAAAAAAAUG
Molecule: long non-coding RNA, 415 nt
Organism: Gallus gallus (chicken)
Lineage: Eukaryota; Metazoa; Chordata; Aves; Galliformes; Phasianidae
Source: Ensembl